CAAUAGCGUAUAUUAAAGUUGUUGCGGUUAAAAAGCUCGUAGUUGGAUUUCUGCUGAGAACGACCGGUCCGCCCUUUGGGUGUGUAUCUGGCUCUUUCUUGGCAUCUUCUUGGUGAACGUUGCUGCACUUGACUGUGUGGAGCGCUACCCAGGACUUUUACUUUGAGGAAAUUAGAGUGUUUCAAGCAGGCAUACGCCUUGAAUACAUUAGCAUGGAAUAAUAAGAUAGGACCUCGGUUCUAUUUUGUUGGUUUCUAGAGCUGAGGUAAUGAUUAAUAGGGAUAGUUGGGGGCAUUCGUAUUUAACUGUCAGAGGAGAAAUUCUUGGAUUUGUUAAAGACGGACUACUGCGAAAGCAUUUGCCAAGGAUGUUUUCAUUGA
This 380-nucleotide ribosomal RNA is filed under the name uncultured eukaryote. RNAcentral's name for it is "partial 18S ribosomal RNA". It matches the Rfam family "Eukaryotic small subunit ribosomal RNA", at positions 592 to 976 of the family's 1831-position model. The record is from RNAcentral.